AGUGAACGCUGGCGGUAGGCCUAACACAUGCAAGUCGAACGGCAGCACAGUAAGAGCUUGCUCUUACGGGUGGCGAGUGGCGGACGGGUGAGGCAUACAUCGGAAUCUACUUUUUCGUGGGGGAUAACGUAGGGACACUUACGCUAAUACCGCAUACGACCUACGGGUGAAAGCAGGGGAUCUUCGGACCUUGCGCGAUUGAAUGAGCCGAUGUCGGAUUAGCUAGUUGGCGGGGUAAAGGCCCACCAAGGCGACGAUCCGUAGCUGGUCUGAGAGGAUGAUCAGCCACACUGGAACUGAGACACGGUCCAGACUCCUACGGGAGGCAGCAGUGGGGAAUAUUGGACAAUGGGCGCAAGCCUGAUCCAGCCAUACCGCGUGGGUGAAGAAGGCCUUCGGGUUGUAAAGCCCUGUUGUUGGGAAAGAAAAGCAGCAGGUUAAUACCCCGCUGUUCUGACGGUACCCAAAGAAUAAGCACCGGCUAACUUCGUG
Molecule: ribosomal RNA, 492 nt
Filed under: uncultured bacterium
Lineage: Bacteria
Description: partial 16S ribosomal RNA
Rfam family: Bacterial small subunit ribosomal RNA
Source: RNAcentral